This 22-nucleotide microRNA is filed under the name Monodelphis domestica (gray short-tailed opossum). Its description in RNAcentral is "mdo-miR-12313-5p". Lineage: Eukaryota; Metazoa; Chordata; Mammalia; Didelphimorphia; Didelphidae. The record is from miRBase by way of RNAcentral.
ACAUGUUAGCAUCUUGGAAGUG